GGCGGCGUCACCUUCUCAUCCCGGUAGGGCUCCGGCUCCUUCUCCUGCUUCCCGGGUCCCCAGGGUCACCGCCACCCUGGCCCAGCGCGCUGCUGCCCGGGCUCCCGGCACCCACAGGCCCCCUGAGGAGGAGACGGGAAUGGAGAAGGGGCCAGCAUUAAACCCUUCAAGUCGGAGCCUCUUUUGAUAAACCACCUGCCCCGCUGAGGGUCACAGAGGGUGAAAGAUUCAAGACUCUCAAAGUCAAGUAUAGCUCCAGCUUGCAUCCUGCCCUUUCUGUCUCAAGCAGAAGAUAUCCCUGUAGUUGGUUCAUUUCUUGCCCAAGAGGCUCAAGCAGGCAGAGGAAGCCUCAGUAGGCUGGGUGUUCCCACCUCGGUGAAUCUGCCCAGGAUUUGGACUGUCAUCCACAAGGUGCUGCCCCAGGCAGAUUAUUGUGAUCACUUUGAUUAAUUUUACCACCUAAUAUAUGAAUAGCGCAUGUCUUAGUUAAGACUGUUUGGUUUACAGGCACUAGAAAUUCAGCUGAGGCAGCUAAAAAAGGAGAGAGAGCUUUAUUUCCAAUAUAUAGCGGUGUCUCAUUUUCCACAGACAUCUGGGCUUCUCGGAGGAGAACCAGGAAGCAGCAAAUCUUGGAGAACAAGAUACUUUUCUCCAUCUCUUAUCUCUGCUUAGCACUGUGUGUCUGUUUUACUCUUCUCUAUCUGCAGACUGUUUUUCUCUGUUUCUUCACCCACACAGCAGGAGUCCGCCACCGCCCAAGCGUCUACCAGUCCCUCGGUUCCAGACAAAUCUUGGACUCACUGGCUGCCACUGGAGUCCAGAUCCCAGUUCCCAGGAAAAAUAAUCUGAUUGGCUCAGCUCUGGUCAUGUGUCUACCCUGACCCAAUCAAUUAUCGGGGGGUGGAGUCAUGUACUACAUACGUGAUUAUCAUGAACUAACCCACUGGGUUGGGGAAUUAAUUCUAAGAAAGAGGGCUGGUGUGAGCGGCUCACACACCCCAAAAUACACCUCAAUUAUUGUUUACUUUUUCAAAGACUGACUUUGUUUAUUCACUCAAUGAAUAUUUGUUAAGUUAGCAACAUGUGUCACCCACUCUUCUAGGAACUGGGGCUACACUUGGGGGAAACCAGACAAGGUCCUUGUCCUUAGGGAGUUUAUCACCUUUGGGGAAGAUACCCAUUGUUUUAAAUAUCAUACAAAUAAAUGUAAAACUAUAAUUGUGACAGAUGUUGUCAAGGUGGGGCAAACAUAUGCUAAAGUAUGAAUGGUGGCGAUCUCUGGGGGAGAAUGUAAAGUUUUAAAUUUUGAAAAUUAAAUUUACCUAAAAUUAAAAAAAUUUU
Long non-coding RNA from Equus quagga, 1341 nucleotides. RefSeq lists it as uncharacterized. Lineage: Eukaryota; Metazoa; Chordata; Mammalia; Perissodactyla; Equidae. The record is from RefSeq and is a predicted model, not a curated record. The transcript has 3 exons.